AUUAAUAUAUCUCUGUCUUUUGCCUUAUACACUAUUAAACUUCGCUCAGGAAAAUAUACACUGAGUGUACAAAACCUGACAUAGGCUGACCAAGUAAAUCAAGUUUCCUGUGUGUAUCAAGAACGGUCCACCACCCAAAGGACAUGCAGCCAACUUGACACAGCUGUGGGAAGCAUUGGAGUCAACAUGGGCCAGCAUCCCUGUGGAACGCCUUCAACACCUUAGACUCCAUGCCCCGAUGAAUUGAGGCUGUUCUGAGAAAAAGGGGGUGCAACUCAAUAUUAAUGUUUUGUACACUCAGUGUAAGUAGCCUUCAGAUAGGGGUUCCUAUAGUGAGAAAAUGUUAGUUUAUCACUCAAUAUAUAAGAAAUUAUUUUCAUAAUACUUCUAUUGAAAUCUCAGGCCCUAAAGGAGCCAUGUUGUACAGACCCAUGAUGGAAUAAUGAAUAGGAUCAUUUAUGUUUUGAGUGGUAGAUAAAUUGGUUGACGUGUCCAUUUACAUUUCAGUUAUGCAAUUUCAUUCACUUUUUAUUGGAUUUAUCCACUUGAAUCUGUUUUUACGAUCUGUGUCAACGUGUUUUGUUCUGGAUAAAAGAAUACAAGUAGUUUGCAGCACUUUAUCCAGCAUGAUGUUACACAACAACUUAUCUCUGUCUCUUCCACUCAAACAUAAGAGGUAAGAACGUGAUUCUUCCCCCUUAUUGUGUAAAUCGCUUUGAGAACCUCAGUUUGUAGAAACGUUCUAUAUAAAUCCAAUCGAUUCGUUUUAUUCAUUAUUAUUAUUUAUGGUCCAAGACACUUUUGCAACUACAGACAUGUUGUGCAAGACCCUUACUAUUCUUCUUGGUCCAUGAGAGAAAGAAUAGAAAGGUAGCAUUAUAUGUCUCUAUAUUUUAGGCUACAUUGUUCCGUUGGUUAAAAUAGAUAGAGACAAAAAAUAUUACGAAAGCACUAAAGGAGUUUACCGACUCUGUGGCCUUGUGGUUAGAGUGUCCGCCCUGAGAUGGAAAGGUUGGGAAUUCAAUUCCUCAGCCAGAUCAUACCAAAGACUGUAGAAAUGGGACCUGAUGUGUCUCUGCUUGGGACUCAGCGUUAAGGUGAUAAAUUGGGAGUAAAGCAUAACGUAUGCUUCCCAGUCGAAACAGUUUGCGCAUAUACUAUGAUUACAUUUUGUGACGUUUUUGUUUGUAUUGGUACAGGGGUUGAAACCGAAAUGAUUUCCAGUAAUUUUGUUUUGAACAGAAUCAUUAUUUUUUUAAUUCUGUUCCACUUUUCCCGAUUAACAAAAUAAUGUUCUGAACCGGUUUGAAGCCCAUACAAGUACAGGUUUAUAUCAUUCCUUUCUGUUUCUUAUUAAACCUCUGAAAUGUUAUUUUUUUUACCUUACAUUUCUUCACCAAUCAGUGCGGAUUGAGCCGCUUGUUAUGGAGCGGGUAAGCAAUUUAAUCUGUAUAGGAAAGUUGUUAAGAGCUAAUUAUAUUUUACAUGGUUUAAUCAUAAUGAAAGACAAACACACAGACUGUGCUCCUAGUCACUAUGAACAGACCAGUGUAGGGCGCGAGAUGCAACUGAAAUUGAGGAGAGAGUGAGAGAGGGUGAAGGAAGCUUGCCUUGAAGCGCCGAGCAUCUUGUUAUGACAUGCAUUACCUGAAUUAGGCCCACAGAAUUAUACCUACGGAGGAGCGGCUUUGAAUGUCUUUGAACUUCCGAGUUGGUUUAAUGAUGGACCAGAGCAAACUAGCUGGCUAACAAACUUGUGUGUGCAGAGCAGCACUAGAAUAAAAAACAUGUCUUAGCAUUUUGUUGUUAUUAAAUCCAAUGUGAAACGUGAUAAUUAUAGUAUACUUUACUAGUAUUGAAAAAGUCAAUCCAUUCUUCUCUAAUUAAACUUCUCUCCUGAAUUUCUGAAUUACACAUGUAACGUUGUCAGUAGCAUACAGUAACCUAUGUUUCAGAGGGGGAGAGGCAGGGAGCCAACAUACAGCACACCCACUGGCAAAGAUUUCCAGUUGGCAGGCAAACGAUAGAAUAAGUUUCUAAGUGACAGAGUGAGGGCUUUGCAUAGGCGCUUUGCUGUAAUUUUUGUGGGACUGGGAAAAAAUGCCCAGAAUGUAAAAGAAUGUUGAUAACUGGUUCCCAUGCUUUUAAAAUAAUGGUUCUGUUUCGGGAACAGUAUAGCUCACUUUAGUUUCCGGUUCGGAUUCAGUUCCUCGAGAAUUUUGUUAUUUUCCGGUUUUCGGUUCUGUUCCCUGAACCGGUUCUAACCCCUGGUUUGGUGUUGGGCAGUGUUCAGGUCUUUUUUGGGCUGUACUAGAACACAUUUAUUUUUCUUUAGGCUUGUCGAACUUCGGUAGCCAAGUCAGCACCUCUUCGUUGGUGACUGGUCAAGAGUAGGGAUCCUUCAAUUAAAUGUUUGUUGUCAUUCAACGACAGAGGACUAGUUUUAAAGCACAUUUUUUUCACUUGAAAAAUACUGCACCAAACAUCUUAAUUAGAUGUAAAAUUGCGUGACUCCUCUGCAAAAAUGUCCAAAUGAAUUACACAUAUCUUGAGUUAUCUUAGAUUAAUUCAGACUAUUUUGAGGAAGUGAACAUGAUACUACAGCAACUCAAGAGGGACAAACAGGACCUCCUGAGUGGCGCAGUGAUCUAUGGCACUGCAUCGCGGUGCUGAGGUGUCCCUACAGCCUCGGGUUUGAUCCCAGCCUGUGUCACAGCCGAUCGUGACCGGGAGACCCUCCGAGGCGAUGCACAAUUGGCACAGCGUCGUCGGGGUUUGGGGAGGUUUUGGCCGGCCAGAAUUUCCUUGUCCAUCAUGCUCUAGUGACUCCAUGUGGUGGCCGGUUGCCUGCAAGCUGACUUCGGUUGUCAGUAGGACGGUGUUUCCUCUGACACUUUGGUGCGGCUGACUUCCAGGUUUAGUGAGCAGUGCGGCUUGGCGGGGUCAUGUUUUGGAGGAUGCAUGGCUCUCGACCUUUGCCUCUCCCGAGUCCAUAGGGGAGUUGCAGCAAUGAGCCAAGACUGUAAUUACCAAUGGGAUAAGACAAAAUUGGAGAGAAAAAAAGGUUAAAAAAAGAAGGGCAAACAGUAAUAUUGCCACUUUUUCAAGGGAGAAUGCGAGCACAGAUGUUCACUUCUCAUAGCCGAAUUCUUCUAGGAGUAAACCGAAUGUAUGUGGACGACUUAAGGUCUUCCUGUCUGGGUUGGCGCCCCCCCCUUGGGUUGUGCCGUGGCGGAGAUCUUUGUGGGCUAUACUCGGCCUUGUCUUAGGACGGUAAGUUGGUGGUUGGAGACAUCCCUCUAGUGGUGUGGGGGCUGUGCUUUGGCAAAGUGGGUGGGGUUAUAUCCUGCCUGUUUGGCCCUGUCUGGGGGUAUCAUUGGAUGGGGCCACAGUGUCUCCUGACCCCUCCUGUCUCAGCCUCCAGUAUUUAUGCUGCAGUAGUUUAUGUGUCGGGGGGCUAGGGUCAGUCUGUUACAUCUGGAGUAUUUCUCUUGUCUUAUCCGGUGUCCUGUGUGAAUUUAAAUAUGCUCUCUCUAAUUCUCUUUCUCUCUUUCUUUCUUUCUCUCGGAGGACCUGAGCCCUAGGACCAUGCCUCAGGACUACCUGGCAUGAUGACUCCUUGCUGUCCCCAGUCCACCUGGCCAUGCUGCUGCUCCAGUUUCAACUGUUCUGCCUGCGGCUAUGGAACCCUGACCUGUUUACCGGACGUGCUUGUUGCCCCCUCGACAACUACUAUGAUUAUUAUUAUUUUACCAUGCUGGUCAUUUAUGAACAUUUUAACAUCUUGACCAUGUUCUGUUAUAAUAUCCACCCGGCACAGCCAGAAGAGGACUGGCCACCCCUCAUAGCCUGGUUCCUCUCUAGGUUUCUUCCUAGGUUUUUGGCCUUUCUAGGGAGUUUUUCCUAGGGAGUUUUUCCUAGCCACCGUGCUUCUUUCACAUGCAUUGCUUGCUGUUUGGGGUUUUAGGCUGGGUUUCUGUACAGCACUUUGGGAUAUCAGCUGAUGUACGAAGGGCUAUAUAAAUAAAUUUGAAAAAUAAAUUUGAUAGCACUUGUACUGUCACGUCCUGACCAGUAUAAGGGUUAUUUGUUAUUGUAGUUUGGUCAGGAUGUGGCAGAGGGUAUUUUGUUUAUGUGUUUCGGGGUGGUGGUGUAUGUAGUAGGGUGUUUGAUUUAUUAUUUCCGGGUUUCGGUCUAUGUUCUAUGUUUUGUAUUUCUAUGUUCUUUCUGGUUUGUUGUAUUUCUAUGUUUAGGUUGAUGGGGGGUUGGACUCUCAAUGGAGGCAGGUGCUUUCUCGUUGCCUCUGAUUGAGAGUCCUAUAUAUGGGUAAUUGUUUGGUUUGGUGUUUGUGGGAGAUUGUUUCUUGUUGUGCUGAGUGUGCCUGACAAGCUGUUUUUGUUGUUCGUGCGUUCUUUGUUUGUUAUUUUGGUGUUCUCUUGAUUUAAAAUAAAUACAAGAUGAGCAUCCACAUUCCUGCUGCGUUUUGGUCCUCCAUUCCCGACGACAACCGUUACAUGUACAGUGUAUUGGGAAAGUAUUCAGACCGCUUUAC
RNAcentral lists this long non-coding RNA (4552 nucleotides) under Salmo salar (Atlantic salmon). Its description in RNAcentral is "lncRNA (ENSSSAG00000111978.1)". The record is from RNAcentral. Lineage: Eukaryota; Metazoa; Chordata; Actinopteri; Salmoniformes; Salmonidae.